UACGUAGGCAGCAAACGUUGUUCGGAAUUACUGGGCGUAAAGAGUGUGUAGGCGGUCUUGUAAGUUCUGUGUGAAAUCUCCCGGCUUAACUGGGAGGGUGCGCCGAAAACUGCAAGGCUUGAGUGCUGGAGAGGAUAGCGGAAUUCCUGGUGUAGCGGUGAAAUGCGUAGAUAUCAGGAGGAACACCGGCGGUGUAGACGGCUAUCUGGACAGUAACUGACGCUGAGACACGAAAGCGUGGGGAGCAAACAGG
Molecule: ribosomal RNA, 253 nt
Filed under: uncultured bacterium
Lineage: Bacteria
Description: partial 16S ribosomal RNA
Rfam family: Bacterial small subunit ribosomal RNA
Source: RNAcentral